UUUCCGUAGGUGAACCUGCGGAAGGAUCAUUAUCAUGUAAUUCAGUCCCCUUGGCUGUGUUAUAUAUAUACCCACUCUGUGUACCUUCUCCUGUUGCUUCCGCUGGGUGUGUAAUUCGCCCGGCGGAAGGGUAAAAAUAACCUCUGAGUAUUGAUGAAAUCUCUGUCUGAACCGAAUAGAAAGAAAAAUGUUAAAACUUUCAGCAACGGAUCUCUUGGCUCUC
Molecule: unclassified non-coding RNA, 223 nt
Filed under: plant metagenome
Description: partial contains small subunit ribosomal RNA, internal transcribed spacer 1, and 5.8S ribosomal RNA
Source: RNAcentral